Molecule: ribosomal RNA, 459 nt
Filed under: uncultured bacterium
Lineage: Bacteria
Description: partial 16S ribosomal RNA
Rfam family: Bacterial small subunit ribosomal RNA
Source: RNAcentral
CCUACGGGAGGCAGCAGUGAGGAAUAUUGGUCAAUGGCCGCAGGGCUGAACCAGCCAAGUCGCGUGAGGGAAGACGGUCCUAUGGAUUGUAAAUCUCUUUUGUCAGGGAGCAAAGGGCGCCACGUGUGGCGUUUUGCGAGUACCUGAAGAAAAAGCAUCGGCUAACUCCGUGCCAGCAGCCGCGGUAAUACGGAGGAUGCGAGCGUUAUCCGGAUUGAUUGGGUUAAAAGGGUGCGCGGGCGGAAUGUCAAGUCAGCGGUAAAAUUUCGGGGCUCAACCCCGUCGUGCCGUUGAAACUGGCGGUCUUGAGUGAGCGAGAGGUGUGCAGAAUGCGAGGUGUAGCGGUGAAAUGCGUAGAGAUCACGCAGAACUCCGAUUGCGAAGGCAGCAUACCGGCGCUCAACUGACGCUCAUGCACGAAAGCGUGGGUAUCGAACAGGAUUAGAUACCCCUGUAGUC